GACGAACGCUGGCGGCGUGCUUAACACAUGCAAGUCGAACGGUGAAGCGCCUUCCUUUUUGGUGGGUGUGGAUGAGUGGCGAACGGGUGAGUAACACGUGAGUAACCUGCCCCCUUCUUCUGGAUAACCGCAUGAAAGUGUUGCUAAUACGGGAUAUUCUGGGUCUGUCGCAUGAUGGGUCUGGGAAAGAUAUUGUUUCGGUGGGGGAUGGGCUCGCGGCCUAUCAGCUUGUUGGUGGGGUGAUGGCCUACCAAGGCGGUGACGGGUAGCCGGCCUGAGAGGGUGGACGGUCACACUGGGACUGAGACACGGCCCAGACUCCUACGGGAGGCAGCAGUGGGGAAUAUUGCACAAUGGGCGAAAGCCUGAUGCAGCGACGCCGCGUGAGGGAUGGAGGCCUUCGGGUUGUGAACCUCUUUCGCCAGUGAAGCAGGGCUGCCUCGUUUGUGGGUGGGUUGACGGUAGCUGGAUAAGAAGCGCCGGCUAACUACGUG
This 494-nucleotide ribosomal RNA is filed under the name uncultured bacterium. Its description in RNAcentral is "partial 16S ribosomal RNA". It matches the Rfam family "Bacterial small subunit ribosomal RNA", at positions 28 to 507 of the family's 1533-position model. The record is from RNAcentral.